This 254-nucleotide ribosomal RNA is filed under the name uncultured bacterium. RNAcentral describes it as "partial 16S ribosomal RNA". It matches the Rfam family "Bacterial small subunit ribosomal RNA", at positions 524 to 776 of the family's 1533-position model. The record is from RNAcentral.
UACGUAGGGUGCGAGCGUUGUCCGGAAUUAUUGGGCGUAAAGAGCUCGUAGGCGGUCUGUCACGUCUGCCGUGAAAACCCGAGGCUUAACCUCGUGGCUUGCGGUGGAUACGGGCAGACUAGAGGUAGGUAGGGGAGAACGGAAUUCCCGGUGUAGCGGUGAAAUGCGCAGAUAUCGGGAGGAACACCGGUGGCGAAGGCGGUUCUCUGGGCCUUACCUGACGCUGAGGAGCGAAAGCAUGGGGAGCGAACAGG